UACGUAGGGUGCGAGCGUUAAUCGGAAUUACUGGGCGUAAAGCGUGCGCAGGCGGUUCGUUAAGUCAGAUGUGAAAGCCCCGGGUUCAACCUGGGAACUGCAUUUGAAACUGGCGGGCUUGAGUGUGGCAGAGGGGGGUGGAAUUCCGCGUGUAGCAGUGAAAUGCGUAGAGAUGCGGAGGAACACCGAUGGCGAAGGCAGCCCCCUGGGCCAACACUGACGCUCAGGCACGAAAGCGUGGGGAGCAAACAGG
This 253-nucleotide ribosomal RNA is filed under the name uncultured bacterium. Its description in RNAcentral is "partial 16S ribosomal RNA". It matches the Rfam family "Bacterial small subunit ribosomal RNA", at positions 524 to 776 of the family's 1533-position model. The record is from RNAcentral.